This 465-nucleotide ribosomal RNA is filed under the name uncultured bacterium. RNAcentral describes it as "partial 16S ribosomal RNA". It matches the Rfam family "Bacterial small subunit ribosomal RNA", at positions 29 to 507 of the family's 1533-position model. The record is from RNAcentral.
ACGAACGCUGGCGGCGUGCUUAACACAUGCAAGUCGAACGGUAAGGCUCCAGCUUGCUGGGGUACACGAGUGGCGAACGGGUGAGUAACACGUGGGUGACCUGCCCUGCACUUCGGGAUAAGCCUGGGAAACUGGGUCUAAUACCGGAUAGGACCAUGGUGUGGAUACUGUGGUGGAAAGUUUUUUCGGUGUGGGAUGGGCCCGCGGCCUAUCAGCUUGUUGGUGGGGUAAUGGCCUACCAAGGCGGCGACGGGUAGCCGGCCUGAGAGGGUGGACGGCCACAUUGGGACUGAGACACGGCCCAGACUCCUACGGGAGGCAGCAGUGGAGAAUAUUGCACAAUGGGCGGAAGCCUGAUGCAGCGACGCCGCGUGGGGGAUGACGGCCUUCGGGUUGUAAACUCCUUUCACCAUCGACGAAGGGUUUCUGACGGUAGAUGGAGAAGAAGCACCGGCUAACUACGUG